GACGGAGGAUGCAAGCGUUAUCCGGAAUUAUUGGGCGUAAAGCGUCCGCAGGUGGCGAUUCAAGUCUGCUGUCAAAGGUCGGGGCUUAACCCCGGGAAGGCAGUGGAAACUGAAUAGCUAGAGUGCGGUAGGGGUAGGGGGAAUUCCCAGUGUAGCGGUGAAAUGCGUAGAGAUUGGGAAGAACAUCGGUGGCGAAAGCGCCCUGCUGGGCCGGCACUGACACUGAGGGACGAAAGCUAGGGGAGCGAAAGGG
Molecule: ribosomal RNA, 253 nt
Filed under: uncultured bacterium
Lineage: Bacteria
Description: partial 16S ribosomal RNA
Rfam family: Bacterial small subunit ribosomal RNA
Source: RNAcentral